This 60-nucleotide transfer RNA is filed under the name Lychas mucronatus (Chinese swimming scorpion). RNAcentral's name for it is "tRNA-Val". Lineage: Eukaryota; Metazoa; Arthropoda; Arachnida; Scorpiones; Buthidae. The record is from RNAcentral.
CAAGAUAUAGCUUAAAAAGUAGUUUAUUUACAUUAAACAGAUCCUACACUGGUAUCUUAA